GUGGGGAAUAUUGGACAAUGGGCGCAAGCCUGAUCCAGCCAUGCCGCGUGAGUGAUGAAGGCCUUAGGGUUGUAAAGCUCUUUCACCGAUGAAGAUAAUGACGGUAGUCGGAGAAGAAGCCCCGGCUAACUUCGUGCCAGCAGCCGCGGUAAUACGAAGGGGGCUAGCGUUGUUCGGAUUUACUGGGCGUAAAGCGCACGUAGGCGGAUUGGUCAGUUAGAGGUGAAAUCCUGGAGCUCAACUCCAGAACUGCCUUUAAUACUGCCAGUCUAGAGUCCAGAAGAGGUGAGUGGAACUCCUAGUGUAGAGGUGGAAUUCGUAGAUAUUAGGAAGAACACCAGUGGCGAAGGCGGCUCACUGGUCUGGUACUGACGCUGAGGUGCGAAAGCGUGGGGAGCAAACAGGAUUAGAAACCCGGGUAGUCC
RNAcentral lists this ribosomal RNA (425 nucleotides) under uncultured bacterium. RNAcentral describes it as "partial 16S ribosomal RNA". It matches the Rfam family "Bacterial small subunit ribosomal RNA", at positions 354 to 796 of the family's 1533-position model. The record is from RNAcentral.